This 706-nucleotide ribosomal RNA is filed under the name Staphylococcus aureus. RNAcentral describes it as "bacterial SSU rRNA". It matches the Rfam family "Bacterial small subunit ribosomal RNA", at positions 196 to 889 of the family's 1533-position model. The record is from RNAcentral. Lineage: Bacteria; Bacillati; Bacillota; Bacilli; Caryophanales; Staphylococcaceae.
AAAAGUGAAAGACGGUCUUGCUGUCACUUAUAGAUGGAUCCGCGCUGCAUUAGCUAGUUGGUAAGGUAACGGCUUACCAAGGCAACGAUGCAUAGCCGACCUGAGAGGGUGAUCGGCCACACUGGAACUGAGACACGGUCCAGACUCCUACGGGAGGCAGCAGUAGGGAAUCUUCCGCAAUGGGCGAAAGCCUGACGGAGCAACGCCGCGUGAGUGAUGAAGGUCUUCGGAUCGUAAAACUCUGUUAUUAGGGAAGAACAUAUGUGUAAGUAACUGUGCACAUCUUGACGGUACCUAAUCAGAAAGCCACGGCUAACUACGUGCCAGCAGCCGCGGUAAUACGUAGGUGGCAAGCGUUAUCCGGAAUUAUUGGGCGUAAAGCGCGCGUAGGCGGUUUUUUAAGUCUGAUGUGAAAGCCCACGGCUCAACCGUGGAGGGUCAUUGGAAACUGGAAAACUUGAGUGCAGAAGAGGAAAGUGGAAUUCCAUGUGUAGCGGUGAAAUGCGCAGAGAUAUGGAGGAACACCAGUGGCGAAGGCGACUUUCUGGUCUGUAACUGACGCUGAUGUGCGAAAGCGUGGGGAUCAAACAGGAUUAGAUACCCUGGUAGUCCACGCCGUAAACGAUGAGUGCUAAGUGUUAGGGGGUUUCCGCCCCUUAGUGCUGCAGCUAACGCAUUAAGCACUCCGCCUGGGGAGUACGACCGC